GAAAAGCAUAAUAGAGAAGCUGGUUAAAUGCCAGCACGGUCCCGCCACUGUAUGGUCGAGCGAGUCUAAAUUAAGUCACUGGAAAACUGGGAAGGCUAGAUAAGCGAUGACGCCGAGUCAGGAGAACUGCCUAUUCAA
This 138-nucleotide non-coding RNA is filed under the name Veillonella dispar. The record is from RNAcentral. Lineage: Bacteria; Bacillati; Bacillota; Negativicutes; Veillonellales; Veillonellaceae.